GUAUGAUCUCAAGAACUCCCCCAUUCUCCCUGGAUGUUGUAGCUGGAGACUAAGGGCAGCUUUGCAUCCAUGAGACAACUCUAGGAUCUGACCCCAGGACCACCUGCACACCUAAGAAUGGAUUAAAUUACAACUCAGACACAUCCUCACGAGUGGCUGCUCUCGGAAGAUGCGUGUGCAUAGACCAACCCUGUCCCUCCUUUUCACCCUUCAUGGUUUCACACCAGCCCUGCAGCUGCAGAAUCUCCAUUGGUCUGGAGUAUCGGGGGGAAUGCUCUCUGGUGCAGCACGUGCACUUCACCUGAUGCUUAUGGAAGACACACAGCACACAAGCGCACACUAAUAAACAGGAAAACACCUCCUCUGGGAUUGGCCAGAGCUUCGAAGCAGUGCAGGCAGGGCCUUCCUGACAUUGUGGCAUGGCUUCUGCUUGCUGCCUUCUCCCAUAAAGCAGUGGUUCCUCCGUAGAAAGCACUCAGCAGUGGGGAGAGCGCGGAGAACAAGCACAUCUCCCAACACUGAGCCACCCCCACCCUCUUACCUCUUGGUGCUGUGGCAAGCUGUCUUCACAAGAUGGCUGGUAUUCACUUACCCAGAGGCCCCCUCAAGAUUCUGCCCUUGCUUUCAGCCUUGACCCCCCACUCCAGACCGCAGGAUGUCGUCUGAGGGUCUGAUAGGAUGUACACUAUUUGGAGAAGGGGCCGGAGGCAAGGCUGUCAGGAGAGAACUGGGUGUCUGUGGUUACUGGAAUGACAGUUCACAGCAAGGCUAUGCCUAGAUUUCCUUAGAGCAGCCUCAGGUGUCUCUGGCUCUUCCUCCCAGCCCCACAGCUGCCAGCUCUCUAGACUAUUACCAGUGGCCGAGGACGACAGCCGGCUCAUCCUUUAGGUCGGAUACAAACCUCUACUUGGUGUUCAAAACCUGGCAACAACUUCUGGAGGUAUGAAAGAGGAAGAAGGAGGGAAUAGGAGAUGCUCAGAGGAGAAGAGAAAAUCCAAAGCUAAGGUCAUUUACUCAGUUCUGCAGAUGUCAGAGCCUGGCCUGGCUGGGAAAGCUCGGCCAUCCAGAAGCAGACAGUGGCGAUGGGGCUGGGUAGCACAGGGCAUACAGAGCAUGCCCCAGGGCCUUGGGCUCUUAGCAGGUCAGGGUCGAGGGCAUCCCUCCAAACCCCUUCCCUGGAAACACUGGGGAGGGGGGCAUGGGGAAUUGCUGCUGCAGAUGCCACAUGAGGACUUUGGGGCUCAGUCUUUCUAGUCUCAGAGGUCAUCCUGGGAUACUGCUGUAGGGAGAGAGCCUUGCCUGUCUGUUGCUGAUGUCAAGUUACUAUCGUUAAGGUUUUUACUUUCCUCAAAGUCACUCUCAUCAACAGGAAUCCUAUAGAACUAUAGGAGAAAUCUUGUGCUCCCUCCCCUCCCAAGGCCCAGCCAGUGCAGGUCAACUUGGAGAGAGCACGUGCCCAGUGUGGUCACUCUCAGGAGGUUUGAAUGGCCCAAAAGUAAUAGCAGGAGAGGUCCAAGUUAAAGCAUCACGCUGUGAGUGCAAACGUGUGGCUCACAACUCAGCCACAUCCUCCAAGCUAAUUAUUUCCGACGUGAGGUUUUCCCAGUCCGCCAAGAAUGGUCCAUCUUCCUACAAAUGAGGUGUCAUCUCUCAGGUUAUGGUAAAGCAAAGCUUCUAGACGUAUCUUCUACACAGUGUCUGGGCCGUGUAUGGGGUGGUGUAGCUCCCUCUCGGGCUGCUCUGUGAGCUUGGUGGAGCUGUGGCUACUGAACUGAGAUCAGCUCCUGGACACAGGCUCCCAUGCGACAGAGAGUGAGAGCCACUCCUACACUUGACCCCUGGUGUGACCUGGAAGUUCUCCACAUCGUGUCAAGAUGUUCGCGAUGUCAUGCCUAGACAGGCCUGUUUGCUGGGCUACUGCAUCCUUUCCUCCAGGGCUGGUCUGACGAUCCUCACCCUUCUCCUGUGACUGAUCUCUGCUCAUUUUCCCUAAGGCUAUCAUUAUCUAGAUGUUUGGCUUUCUUGACAAAAUUUGUAAUAAUAAUAAAAAAAAACCUUUACUUAUUUUCUUUCUUUCUUGUAUAGUACUUUUUAGAAGACGUCUUCAAGUUGAUUUUCUAAGUUGAUUUUGUUAAGCCUUUGGGUUUUUUUUUUUUUUUUAUACCAAUGAGAAAGACAGCAAUAUUUAUUU
This 2191-nucleotide long non-coding RNA is filed under the name Mus pahari (shrew mouse). RNAcentral describes it as "lncRNA (MGP_PahariEiJ_G0005419.1)". The record is from RNAcentral. Lineage: Eukaryota; Metazoa; Chordata; Mammalia; Rodentia; Muridae.